GGAAAGGUGGCCGAGUGGUUUAAGGCACUAGUCUUGAAAACUAGCAGGCCGCAAGGUCUCGUGGGUUCGAAUCCCACCCUUUCCGCCA
RNAcentral lists this transfer RNA (88 nucleotides) under Patescibacteria group bacterium. Its description in RNAcentral is "tRNA-Ser". It matches the Rfam family "tRNA". Rfam says of the family: Transfer RNA (tRNA) molecules are approximately 80 nucleotides in length. Their secondary structure includes four short double-helical elements and three loops (D, anti-codon, and T loops). Further hydrogen bonds mediate the characteristic L-shaped molecular structure. tRNAs have two regions of fundamental functional importance: the anti-codon, which is responsible for specific mRNA codon recognition, and the 3' end, to which the tRNAs corresponding amino acid is attached (by aminoacyl-tRNA synthetases). tRNAs cope with the degeneracy of the genetic code in two manners: having more than one tRNA (with a specific anti-codon) for a particular amino acid; and 'wobble' base-pairing, i.e. permitting non-standard base-pairing at the 3rd anti-codon position. The record is from RNAcentral.